RNAcentral lists this transfer RNA (66 nucleotides) under pig gut metagenome. It matches the Rfam family "tRNA". From Rfam's summary of the family: Transfer RNA (tRNA) molecules are approximately 80 nucleotides in length. The record is from RNAcentral.
UGAAUAGCUCAGUCGGUAGAGCAAUCGGCUGUUAACCGAUCGGUCGUAGGUUCGAGUCCUACUUCA